AACGAACGCUGGCGGCAUGCCUAACACAUGCAAGUCGAACGAAGGCUUCGGCCUUAGUGGCGCACGGGUGCGUAACGCGUGGGAAUCUGCCCUUGGGUUCGGAAUAACGUCGGGAAACUGACGCUAAUACCGGAUGAUGACGUAAGUCCAAAGAUUUAUCGCCCAAGGAUGAGCCCGCGUCGGAUUAGCUAGUUGGUGAGGUAAAAGCUCACCAAGGCGACGAUCCGUAGCUGGUCUGAGAGGAUGAUCAGCCACACUGGGACUGAGACACGGCCCAGACUCCUACGGGAGGCAGCAGUAGGGAAUAUUGGACAAUGGGCGAAAGCCUGAUCCAGCAAUGCCGCGUGAGUGAUGAAGGCCUUAGGGUUGUAAAGCUCUUUUACCCGGGAUGAUAAUGACCGUACCGGGAGAAUAAGCUCCGGCUAACUCCGUG
RNAcentral lists this ribosomal RNA (433 nucleotides) under uncultured bacterium. RNAcentral describes it as "partial 16S ribosomal RNA". It matches the Rfam family "Bacterial small subunit ribosomal RNA", at positions 29 to 507 of the family's 1533-position model. The record is from RNAcentral.